UACAGAGGGUGCGAGCGUUAAUCGGAAUUACUGGGCGUAAAGCGCGCGUAGGCGGCUUUUCAAGUCGAUUGUGAAAUCCCUCGGCUUAACCGGGGAACUGCGUCUGAUACUGGAUGGCUUGAGUUCGGGAGAGGGAUGCGGAAUUCCAGGUGUAGCGGUGAAAUACGUAGAUAUCUGGAGGAACACCGGUGGCGAAGGCGGCAUCCUGGACCGACACUGACGCUGAGGAGCGAAAGCCAGGGGAGCAAACGGG
Molecule: ribosomal RNA, 253 nt
Filed under: uncultured bacterium
Lineage: Bacteria
Description: partial 16S ribosomal RNA
Rfam family: Bacterial small subunit ribosomal RNA
Source: RNAcentral